AUCGAGGAAGAAAGAAAAUAAGUAAAACAAAUUCAACGGCCGACGAGGGAAAACUUUUCAAACCUCUCCACCUCUUCCACGCCUCUGCUAUAACCGUAGAACCCUUAACUCGAUCUCCAUGUGAAAAACCCCAAAGCCCUAGCCUCUCGAUCCUCUCCAUCUCACUUCCAUGGGGAAGCGCUCUCGUAUGUUGAGGUCCUCCAGCUUCGGGGCGGCCAGUCCCCUCGACAAG
RNAcentral lists this long non-coding RNA (232 nucleotides) under Phoenix dactylifera (date palm). RNAcentral's name for it is "long non-coding RNA (PDAC_LNC004505)". Lineage: Eukaryota; Viridiplantae; Streptophyta; Magnoliopsida; Arecales; Arecaceae. The record is from RNAcentral.